GCCUUCUUGGUGUAGUGGUCAGCACGCUGGGUGCAUAUUCCAGAGGUCCGUGGUUCGAGUCUCGGCGAAGGCA
This is a non-coding RNA of Stegodyphus mimosarum, 73 nucleotides long. The record is from Rfam. Lineage: Eukaryota; Metazoa; Arthropoda; Arachnida; Araneae; Eresidae.